GCAUAAUCAUUAGUCAUUUAAUUGAUGACUUGUAUGAAGGAUUGGAUGAAAUAUAAACUGUCUCUUAAUUAUUAUAUUUAGAAUUUAAUUUUUUAAUUAAAAAGUUAAAAUAUAUUAAAAAGACGAGAAGACCCUAUAGAGUUUUAUGAAUUAAAUUAAUUAAAAUUAUUUGUAAGAUUAAAAUUAAAAUUAAUUUAUUUAUUUUGUUGGGGUGACAGAAAAAUAUAAUAAACUUUUUAUAUAUUUAAAACAUUAAUAAGUGAUUAAAUGAUCCAAUAUUAUUGAUUAUAAGAAAAAAUUACCUUAGGGAUAACAGCGUAAUUUUUUUUUUUAGUUCAUAUAAAAAAAAAAGUUUGCGACCUCGAUGUUGGAUUAAGAUAAAAUUUAAAUGCAGAAG
This 397-nucleotide ribosomal RNA is filed under the name Sesamia poephaga. RNAcentral's name for it is "partial 16S large subunit ribosomal RNA". The record is from RNAcentral. Lineage: Eukaryota; Metazoa; Arthropoda; Insecta; Lepidoptera; Noctuidae.